RNAcentral lists this ribosomal RNA (460 nucleotides) under uncultured bacterium. RNAcentral's name for it is "partial 16S ribosomal RNA". It matches the Rfam family "Bacterial small subunit ribosomal RNA", at positions 338 to 795 of the family's 1533-position model. The record is from RNAcentral.
CCUACGGGAGGCUGCAGUGAGGAAUAUUGGUCAAUGGGCGCGAGCCUGAACCAGCCAAGUAGCGUGAAGGAUGACUGCCCUACGGGUUGUAAACUUCUUUUAUAAAGGAAUAAAGUGAGGCAAGUGUGCCUUUUUGUAUGUACUUUAUGAAUAAGGAUCGGCUAACUCCGUGCCAGCAGCCGCGGUAAUCCGGAGGAUCCGAGCGUUAUCCGGAUUUAUUGGGUUUAAAGGGAGCGUAGAUGGGUUGUUAAGUCAGUUGUGAAAGUUUGCGGCUCAACCAUAAAAUUGCAAUUGAUACUGGCAGCCUUGAGUACAGUUGAGGUAGGCGGAAUUCGUGGUGUAGCGGUGAAAUGCUUAGAUAUCGCGAAGAACACCGAUUGCGAAGGCAGCCUACUAAACAGCAACUGACAUUGAUGCUCGAAGGUGUGGGUAUCAAACAGGAUUAGAUACCCCAGUAGUC